GAUGAACGCUGGCGGCGUGCCUAAUACAUGCAAGUCGAGCGAACAGACGAGGAGCUUGCUCCUCUGACGUUAGCGGCGGACGGGUGAGUAACACGUGGAUAACCUACCUAUAAGACUGGGAUAACUUCGGGAAACCGGAGCUAAUACCGGAUAAUAUAUUGAACCGCAUGGUUCAAUAGUGAAAGACGGUUUUGCUGUCACUUUUAGAUGGAUCCGCGCCGCAUUAGCUAGUUGGUAAGGUAACGGCUUACCAAGGCAACGAUGCGUAGCCGACCUGAGAGGGUGAUCGGCCACACUGGAACUGAGACACGGUCCAGACUCCUACGGGAGGCAGCAGUAGGGAAUCUUCCGCAAAGGGCGAAAGCUUGACGGAGCAACGCCGCGUGAGUGAUGAAGGUCUUCGGAUCGUAAAACUCUGUUAUUAGGGAAGAACAAAUGUGUAAGUAACUAUGCACGUCUUGACGGUACCUAAUCAGAAAGCCACGGCUAACUACGUG
RNAcentral lists this ribosomal RNA (497 nucleotides) under uncultured bacterium. RNAcentral describes it as "partial 16S ribosomal RNA". It matches the Rfam family "Bacterial small subunit ribosomal RNA", at positions 28 to 507 of the family's 1533-position model. The record is from RNAcentral.